ACAUUUCAGUAGUUUACCUAAAA
RNAcentral lists this transfer RNA (23 nucleotides) under Pelomedusa subrufa. Its description in RNAcentral is "partial transfer RNA-Thr". RNAcentral also lists the same sequence under 1 other name. The record is from RNAcentral. Lineage: Eukaryota; Metazoa; Chordata; Testudines; Pelomedusidae.